RNAcentral lists this long non-coding RNA (436 nucleotides) under Brachypodium distachyon (stiff brome). Its description in RNAcentral is "long non-coding RNA (BDIS_LNC003158)". The record is from RNAcentral. Lineage: Eukaryota; Viridiplantae; Streptophyta; Magnoliopsida; Poales; Poaceae.
GUAGACUGUAGUAGCUCAGAAUCUCUUGCUAUUUGCGAACUGAAAUUAGCUCAGGUGGUUGGGUUUUUCCGGUGGAACCAGUCCAUCCAGGUUUAAGUCUUAGACUUGGCAUAGGUGUUUAUAUUUUUAGAUUUAUUUCAGACUUUAACCCACGUGUGUACUAUGUUUACAAAAAAAAAAAGAAUCUCUUGCUAUUUUCUGUGGAAAUGAAACCAAAGGACCGAAGGAAAACAGAAAACGGGAGAAAUGAAAUGUCUUCUCUUCAACACAAAUACCAUCUCUCCAAUAAGGUUAAGAAUACCAGGAGUCUCGUUGAUCAUGCCAGAUUUCUUCGCUAUGCCCCUUGCAUUCUGGUCCAAGGGCCAUUUCUCGGCUAGAGGUCCAUGGGCCAAGAGGCCAGUCUAGCAAACUUGUCACAGGAUUUUAUGGUUCGGUG